UAAUGGACAAUGGGGGCAACCCUUAUCCAGCCAUGCCGCGUGUGUGAAGAAGGUCUUCGGAUGGUAAAGCACUUUAAGUCGGGAGGAAGGGCAUUAGGUUAAUACCCUGAAGUUUUGACGUUACCAACAGAAGAAGCACCGGCAAACUCUGUGCCAGCAGCCGCGGUAAUACAGAGGGUGGAAGAGUUAAUCGUAAUUACUGUGUGUAAAGCGCGCGUAGGUGGUUCAGUAAGAUGGGUGUGAAAUCCACGGGCUUAACCUGGGAACUGCUUUCAUAACUGCUGAGCUAGAGUACGGUAGAGGGUAGUGGAAUUUCCUGUGUAGCGGUGAAAUGCGUAGAUAUAGGAAGGAACACCAGUGGCGAAGGCGACUACCUGGACUGAUACUGACACUGAGGUGCGAAAGCGUGGGGAGCAAAC
This 419-nucleotide ribosomal RNA is filed under the name uncultured bacterium. Its description in RNAcentral is "partial 16S ribosomal RNA". It matches the Rfam family "Bacterial small subunit ribosomal RNA", at positions 359 to 773 of the family's 1533-position model. The record is from RNAcentral.